UGCCCUGCUCCUUAUGGAAGACUAGUGAUUUUGUUGUUCUUUAUCUCAUGACAACAAGUCACAGUCUGCCUUACGAAGCCUGGCU
Non-coding RNA from Podarcis lilfordi (Lilford's wall lizard), 85 nucleotides. The record is from the annotation of a GenBank genome assembly. Lineage: Eukaryota; Metazoa; Chordata; Lepidosauria; Squamata; Lacertidae.